This 669-nucleotide long non-coding RNA is filed under the name Mytilus galloprovincialis (Mediterranean mussel). The record is from RNAcentral. Lineage: Eukaryota; Metazoa; Mollusca; Bivalvia; Mytilida; Mytilidae.
GUCCGUCCGUCCGUCCGUCGUCCACACUUCGGACAAUAACUCAAAAACACUUUCACCAAUUUCCAUGAAACUUAAGUGAAUUGUUUAUAUCUAUUGACGUAAGCUCCCUUUCGUUUUUUUUUUAAUUUCAGAUUUUAAGUUUUGGAUUUAUGGGGCUUUAUUCAUAAAAAAGGGGGGAUUUUUAACACUUCGGACAAUAACUCAAAAAGGCUUUCACCAAUAUCAUGAAACUUUCGUGAAUUGUUUAUAUCUAUUGAUGUAAGCUCCCUUUCAAUUUUUAUAAAUUUCAGAUUUUAAGUUUUGGAUUUAUGGGGCUUUAUUCAUAAAAAAAGGGGGAUUUUCAACACUUCGGACAAUAACUCAAAAAGGCUUUCACCAAUGUCCAUGAAACUUUGGUGAAUUGUUUAUAUCUAUUGAUGUAAGCUCAGAGAGAGAUUUUAAGUUUUGGAUUUAUGGGGCUUUAUUCAUAAAAGAAAGGGGGAUUUUCAACACUUCGGACAAUAACUCAAAAAGGUUUUCACCAAUGUCCAUGAAACUUUGGUGAAUAGUUUAUAUCUAUUGAUGUAAGCUCUCUUUCAAUUUUUAUAAAUUUCAGAUUUUACAUUUCCGUGUUAUGAAUUUUUAUGCUUAAAAAAGGGGGGAUUUUCCAAUUUUGGGACAAUAACUAAC